UGCUGCUCCGCCUCACGCCCAGCCUGUUGAUCGGUGGACGGGAAAGCGCGCAUGGCAUCGGAAGGAGCUCGAAAAGUAUAAGGUGAUGACAGUAAGUAACGAUACUGUGAUUUGUGAUCUUUCUGGGGUGUUAACUGUAAAGCAAUGGAUAAUUGCGUGAAAAUCAAACUAAAAGAAUGCAAUCUUGAGGAGUUAAUCCCCACAUUUGAA
This is a non-coding RNA of Danio rerio (zebrafish), 210 nucleotides long. Lineage: Eukaryota; Metazoa; Chordata; Actinopteri; Cypriniformes; Danionidae. The record is from RefSeq and is a predicted model, not a curated record.